RNAcentral lists this ribosomal RNA (428 nucleotides) under uncultured soil bacterium. Its description in RNAcentral is "bacterial SSU rRNA". It matches the Rfam family "Bacterial small subunit ribosomal RNA", at positions 966 to 1393 of the family's 1533-position model. The record is from RNAcentral.
GAACCUUACCAACCUUUGACAUGCCCAGUAUGGUCGUCAGAAAUGACUUCCUUCCCGCAAGGGGCUGGAGCACAGGUGCUGCAUGGCUGUCGUCAGCUCGUGUCGUGAGAUGUUGGGUUAAGUCCCGCAACGAGCGCAACCCUCGCCCUUAGUUGCCAUCAUUUAGUUGGGCACUCUAAGGGGACUGCCGGUGAUAAACCGCGAGGAAGGUGGGGAUGACGUCAAGUCCUCAUGGCCCUUACAGGUUGGGCUACACACGUGCUACAAUGGCGGUGACAGUGGGAUGCAAUGGAGUAAUCCUGCGCAAAUCUCAAAAAGCCGUCUCAGUUCGGAUUGUGCUCUGCAACUCGAGCACAUGAAGUUGGAAUCGCUAGUAAUCGCAGAUCAGCACGCUGCGGUGAAUACGUUCCCGGGCCUUGUCACACCGA